This is a long non-coding RNA of Orcinus orca (killer whale), 1213 nucleotides long. RefSeq lists it as uncharacterized. The transcript has 6 exons. The record is from RefSeq and is a predicted model, not a curated record. Lineage: Eukaryota; Metazoa; Chordata; Mammalia; Artiodactyla; Delphinidae.
GCUUCUAGGAUCAGAGGAUGUCGAGAUGGAAGGGCCUAAUAACAAUGACUGACUGAUUCACCCAAGAGAUUUUUAUUUUUGCCUUUUUUUUUUCUUUUAAUAGAGAAUGAAAGUAUGAUCUUAGAGGAAAAACAGACCCCCAGGAAUUCAAGCAUCCUGGUGCCUGUGGUAAUUGCUUCCUGAGGGUCCUGACUCUGCUGAUAACUGCAGACACCUGUCCUCUGCAGAAGCAGUUGGCAUAUCACACACCCAGGCACACGUCUGUGCAGGCUUAUAAACACCUGCAGUAGGACAUGCUUUCUCCACUCUGUCUGGACACAAACCGCAGUCCAUGGCAACCAAAGAGGCCCUCUGGCUUCCACACCUGGCUUUCAACUGCCUGUGACUCUUCAUCCGAUCUUCAUCUUCAUGCAGAGCACCAGUGGCACUUAGUAAUAACCAUCCGACAACAUCAUCCUUCCCUCCACACACUGCAAACACCUGGAGUAUCUACACAGAUGAUCGUUUAACAGGGAAGAACAUGGUAGUUACCACAACGUGACGAGAUCCCUGGCCUGUGUAUCUUCUCAAAACCUCAAGUCUGGUUUAGCCAAGAGCUAGAGAUGACCAGGGGACAGUGGUCAGCCUGGGAUGGCUCUGCCACACCUGGAAUCACCGCUGAGUGAAGGGCCUGUGGAGACCACAACACUCUGAGAAGUCCACAGCAAUUCCAGGCUGUAACACAAGGGCAGGGAAUGCAUCCUCUUCAUCUCUGUAACUCAAGCCUUACAUGACAGCAGCCUGGUCUCCCAAGAGCCUUUGACGGUAAAGGCAGCUGAUGGUGCGGAGCAAGGAUUCAGCAGCAUCACACACACCUUCCGUGAUUCUGCCCAGAUCGCCUUGCCUUGACCUGAUCCCAUCAAGAAGCCUCACUGAAAGCUGAGUGACCUGAGUACAAAGGCUUCAGAUCUUCCUACCUCACGGCCGGCCCAGCCCUCCUUCCUGUUGUCCAGCACAGCAUCCGGCAAAGGCCAUUACCCUUAUUUAAGGGCAGAUGAACUGUACACCACCCAGAGGUGUGGACUUCCUAGAGCAAGCAAGACCCAGCCCACCACCAGCUGUGGCUAAGCCAGCUUCAUCCUAGUUCCUGACCCUGCAAACAGGCACAGAAGCCAUCUCCCAUCCUUGCCUCAACCCACCAUAUCCUUCACCCUGCACUAUGUUAUAAGCUCCG